RNAcentral lists this ribosomal RNA (507 nucleotides) under uncultured bacterium. RNAcentral's name for it is "bacterial SSU rRNA". It matches the Rfam family "Bacterial small subunit ribosomal RNA", at positions 1 to 507 of the family's 1533-position model. The record is from RNAcentral.
ACGAGUUUGAUCAUGGCUCAGAUUGAACGCUGGCGGAAUGCUUUACACAUGCAAGUCGAGCGGCAGCGCGGGGGCAACCCUGGCGGCGAGCGGCGAACGGGUGAGUAACAUAUCGGAACGUACCCAGUCGUGGGGGAUAACUAUCCCGAAAAGGAUAGCUAAUACCGCAUACGUCCUGAGGGAGAAAGCGGGGGAUCGCAAGACCUCGCGCGAUUGGAGCGGCCGAUAUCGGAUUAGCUAGUUGGUGGGGUAAAGGCUCACCAAGGCGACGAUCCGUAGCGGGUCUGAGAGGACGACCCGCCACACUGGAACUGAGACACGGUCCAGACUCCUACGGGAGGCAGCAGUGGGGAAUUUUGGACAAUGGGGGCAACCCUGAUCCAGCCAUUCCGCGUGAGUGAAGAAGGCCUUCGGGUUGUAAAGCUCUUUCAGCAGGAACGAAACGGUGGUCCCUAAUACGGACUACUAAUGACGGUACCUGAAGAAGAAGCACCGGCUAACUACGUG